RNAcentral lists this signal recognition particle RNA (99 nucleotides) under Thermoleophilia bacterium. RNAcentral describes it as "signal recognition particle sRNA small type". It matches the Rfam family "Bacterial small signal recognition particle RNA". From Rfam's summary of the family: The signal recognition particle (SRP) is a universally conserved ribonucleoprotein involved in the co-translational targeting of proteins to membranes. Archaeal SRP consists of a 7S RNA and homologues of the eukaryotic SRP19 and SRP54 proteins. Lineage: Bacteria; Bacillati; Actinomycetota; Thermoleophilia. The record is from RNAcentral.
GGCCAGGCUCCGUGCAGUGGGAGCCUUGCGAACCGCGUCAGGUCCGGGAGGAAGCAGCGCUAAGCAUCGUCUCCCAGGUGCGCGGGCGGCCUGGCCCUC